RNAcentral lists this non-coding RNA (192 nucleotides) under Salmonella enterica. Its description in RNAcentral is "6S RNA". It matches the Rfam family "6S / SsrS RNA". Rfam says of the family: E. coli 6S RNA was the first non coding RNA to be sequenced, but its function was unknown until recently. It consists of 184 nucleotides that fold into an extended hairpin structure with a large single-stranded internal bulge. The 6S RNA specifically associates with RNA polymerase holoenzyme containing the sigma70 specificity factor. The record is from RNAcentral. Lineage: Bacteria; Pseudomonadati; Pseudomonadota; Gammaproteobacteria; Enterobacterales; Enterobacteriaceae.
AUUUCUCUGAGAUGUUUGCAAGCGGGCCAGUCCCCUGAGCCGAUAUUUCAUACCACAAGAAUGUGGCGCUCCGCGGUUGGUGAGCAUGCUCGGUUCGUCCGAGAAGCCUUAAAACUGUGACGACACAUUCACCUUGAACCAAGGGUUCAAGGGUUCAAGGGUUACAGCCUGCGGCGGCAUCUCGGAGAUUCC